UGAAGCAAGAAGCCAUGUUGGAAAGUCUUAUGUUUCCAGUGUAAAGCACGGAGCUGAGGAUGUCCCCCCACUGCCCAACAAUCACCGGGAAUUGAGGACAGCCUCUCACAGACAGUCAGCAAGAAUCUGAGACCUUCAGUUCAGAUUCAGAUACAAGCCAGAAGGAACUGAAUUCUGCUAACAACCACAUGACAUUGGAAGCAGAUCUUUAUCCAAUUAAGAAGAGACCACAGUCCUGGUCAACAUUUAGGUUGCAGCUUUCAGAUGAGACCCUAAGCCACAGAACCCAACAAAGCCAUACCCAGACUCCUAUUCCACAGAAGUGGAAUGUGACUCCUCCAGUCACCAUGGGGUCUUUGAGUGACAUGAAGUCCCCGUGUCAUGGACGGCCAGGCAGCUGAAUGAGGCUCGCUCACAUUCUGAUUCUCCAGACUAAUCAACCUCACUCCCGCCGCCUAUUCCAUCCCUCUGCAAUCUCUUACUCACUUGAGUAUCAUAAAUCUACAUUUUUUUGGUCCACAAGGAGAAAAUAAUUCUUAUAACUUUAGUCCCUAGGCUGUUACUUUUCAAAGUGCUCUUUAGGGAACAGAAACAGAAUACAUCAAAUCAUGUCUGCAGCUACUGUCCCUGCUGAAACAUGGGCCAUCUUGUGUGCCAUCAGUAUCCAUGGCCUUAUAUCCUUUUCCACAAAACCAUUACUUACUUUUUUUUUUUUCUGUCUCAUUUCCCUCAGCCUGAGUUUCAUUUUUUUUAAAAAUGGUAUCUCAAGAUCUUUGAGACACCUACAGCAGUUACCCUCUUAUGAAUCUUCCUGUUCAAGCCUUGGCAUGAACAAUUUAAGACCACGGAUCUUCCAAAAAUCAUGUGUGUGUAAUUACAUUUAAUUUUGUUUGGAACCACAUUUAAGUGUAAAUUCCCUAUAAGGAAAGAAGAGCAUGGGACAUGUGCAUUGGAAAAGGAAAGGUGGCCUAGGUGGAGGGAUUUCCAUUGGGCCAUCGGCCAAGCGAGUCCCUGAGAGCUGACAGUGCUGCAGGCUGAUGGGUUAGCACGUGCACAAGGAAGGUUCAACCUAGACAGAAACAGCCUUUUGGGGCUCCCUCCCAGGAGGCCACGGAGGACUGUGAUGACUGACUCCCAGCAGAACCUCGUGCCAUCCCCUACGCAGAAAACACUUCAGAGCCAUGGCAACGAGGAAAUGAUGGUUGAAGCAUCUGCAGGUCUAACGUGGCCAUGGGAGGAGAAUCUCUGUUGUGAUGUUCGUCAUGUUGAGAACUCUUCUGUCUAAGGUGGAAUGUGUGGUCUGGUGGAAGAGGGUGCAGAGUGAGAAGCAGGAACCUGGGAACUCUGCCCCUGUGUGCCCUGCACAAGCCCCUCCCUGCUCUGGAACUCAUUUGCCCCUGCUAUGAAACUGCAAGGGAAGUAGGGGCUUUCUAAGCACAUCUACCCCUUGAUCGUUCUAGGAAUCUCUGACACUUUCAUGUGAAUGAAGUGUGAUGUAUAUUUCUGCCAGUCUCAUAAUUCCUAUAGUUUAACUUUUAAAAAAAUCAAGGAAAAAAAGACUGGAGAAAUUGAUGAUUAAAAUGCAGUCUGGGCAUUUCUUUAUUUCAAUUUUCCUGUUAUCCUCAUGUCCCUAAACCAGGAAUAAUAAUGACUUAGCAGUUAUAUUUUUUUACAAUAAUGUAAGUCUGCCAAAACAUUUUCAAGUUUCUUGCUUCACCUUGCUGAAGGCAACACAAGCUCCUACAGCUGACAGGUCCUCUCAAGCCCAAGCCUUUGUGGUCCUGGAACAAAGUCCCACUCAGGUACAGCUGUGGACAGGCCGGCACCCACUCGAAGACUGCUUUUUAGGUUUUUGUUACUCUCAUUUAGUAAAUAUUUAUUUAGCUGUC
Molecule: long non-coding RNA, 1889 nt
Organism: Cebus imitator (Panamanian white-faced capuchin)
Lineage: Eukaryota; Metazoa; Chordata; Mammalia; Primates; Cebidae
Exons: 2
Source: RefSeq, a predicted model, not a curated record